GCCGGGCGUGGUGGCAGGCGCCUGUAGUCCCAGCUACUCGGAGGCUGAGGCAGGAGAAUCGCUUGAACCCGGGAGGUGGAGGUUGCAGUGAACCGAGAUGGCGCCGUUGCACUUCAGCCUGGGCAACAAGAGUAAAACUCUGUCUCNNNNNNNNNNGAGACAGAGUUUUACUCUUGUUGCCCAGGCUGAAGUGCAACGGCGCCAUCUCGGUUCACUGCAACCUCCACCUCCCGGGUUCAAGCGAUUCUCCUGCCUCAG
Molecule: signal recognition particle RNA, 258 nt
Filed under: Chlorocebus sabaeus (green monkey)
Lineage: Eukaryota; Metazoa; Chordata; Mammalia; Primates; Cercopithecidae
Description: Metazoan signal recognition particle RNA
Rfam family: Metazoan signal recognition particle RNA
About the family: The signal recognition particle (SRP) is a universally conserved ribonucleoprotein. It is involved in the co-translational targeting of proteins to membranes. The eukaryotic SRP consists of a 300-nucleotide 7S RNA and six proteins: SRPs 72, 68, 54, 19, 14, and 9.
Source: Rfam by way of RNAcentral